UUUUGCAUCUGAUAACUUGGAUGAAUUACAUAUUAAACAAGGGUGAAGACCUUAAAUUUUACAAUUUUUUAAUUUUUUUUAAUCCUUCUUUUUCCUUCUCUCUUCUUUCAACCUUUCCUCCACCUUAAACCACCACCUUCUAGAAGGCUCCAUUAAUAAGAAAAUAGCAAAUUCAAACUACUCCCGCCAUUUUUAGGAAAAAUAACAAGAAAAUAGCAAAUUUCACCAAUCUCUUUCUUUACUCCCACCAUUUUUAAGAAAAAGCUCAUACUCUUCGCUCACUCUAAGAUAGCACUUUCCCAUCUCCAGGCGAUUUCCAAACUACAAUAAAAAAAAAAUAGCAAAUUCAAACAUAUUCAACUAUAUCAGAACGAUCCGUCAUCAGCGCGAAAAAACAAAAGUAGAAAAAGGAUAAAAUCAAACCUUUAAAGCAGAAUGGACCAGUAGUUUAUUCAAGGAAGGAGAUGGAGAACAAAUUGGGUACAACAAUGGAGAUUUCUCACUAAAAAUCAGAGUCGAAGGGGCUGGGGUUGCUUGUCGUUUGAAGCGAUGAAGGGGAAGGGGAGCUGUCAGUGGUGUAGUUGCUUGGGUUUCGCCGGAGCUCCGGCGUUGACUCAUCGGAGAAGAUGGAGUGCGGGGGGUGAAGUCUCCCUAGCCCAAAAGGUAGAGAUCUUUGUACAUCUGACCCUCUCCGGACCUCACUUGUGGGACUACUCUAGGUUAUGCAAGUCGUAUUUCAAAACUCGGCAAUUGAAGACGAACAAGUGUUCAAAAUAACCUCACUAGCUUUAAGCUAAUAGUCCUCAUGUACAAGAUCCUUACUGAUUAAAUAUUCUGUGUCAUUAAUACUAUCUGAG
Lycium barbarum (goji berry) is the source of this 857-nucleotide long non-coding RNA. RefSeq lists it as uncharacterized. Lineage: Eukaryota; Viridiplantae; Streptophyta; Magnoliopsida; Solanales; Solanaceae. The transcript is spliced from 3 exons. The record is from RefSeq and is a predicted model, not a curated record.